UAAACAGGAUUCCCUAGUAACGGCGAGUGAAGCGGGAUGAGCUCAAGCUUAAAAUCUCCSUGYACGUUGUGCGCGGCGAAUUGUAGUCUAUAGAUGCGUGAUCAGCGCGGGCGCUCGGGGUAAGUUCCUUGGAAGAGGACAGCAUGGAGGGUGAUACUCCCGUUCGUACCUGAGUGUUUUGCGCGUACGGUCCGUAUUCUUUGAGUCGCGUUGUUUGGGAAUGCAGCGCAAAGUAGGUGGUAAAUUCCAUCUAAAGCUAAAUAUUGGUGCGAGACCGAUAGCGAACAAGUACCGUGAGGGAAAGAUGAAAAGAACUUUGAAAAGAGAGUUAAAGAGUACCUGAAACUGCUGAAAGGGAACCGAAUCGUUUCCAGUGUCUAUAAUCCGCGGCAUAUUUCACGUGCGAGUGUGUGCGUUUCGGCUUUGUGGCAGCGGUCAUUUAUUUGUCUGCGCUCGUUGCUGUUUGUGCGCUCGCUUGCGUGUGCCCUGUGCUGUGGUGGGACGUCAAGGUCAGUUCGUAUGCUGCGGGAAAUGGCCGUCGGGGAGGUAGGUCUUAAGCUCCGCUUUUGGCUAUUAUAUCUCGGCGGUUGAGUCGUCGCGGUUGGGACUGAGGUGCCUACAACGUGCUUUUGAGCGCGUGCGUGUCUCUGUGCGCGCGUUGUGCGGAUAGCUUGCUAUGCGCGUGGCGUGUGGUGCGGAUGGAUAUGCGCUGCUGCUUGUUGCCGUUCGGGACUUUGACGAAAUGGCGCGAUCCGACCCGUCUUGAAACACGGACCAAGGAGUCUAACACGCGUGCAAGUGUUUUGGUGUGGAAACCAUAACGCGCAAUGAAAGUGAARGGCGCCUUACGGCGUCUGAGGUAGGAAACCUUGUCGAUUUAUCGGCGGGGUGGCACUAUCGACCGAUCAUGAGCCUUCGUGGCGAAAGAUUUGAGUUUGAGCACGUGUGUUGGUACCCGAAAGAUGGUGAACUAUGCCUGAGUAGGGUGAAGCCAGGGGAAACUCUGGUGGAAGCUCGUAGCGAUUCUGACGUGCAAAUCGAUCGUCAAACUUGGGUAUAGGGGCGAAAGACUAAUCGAACCAUCUAGUAGCUGGUUCCCUCCGAAAUUUCCCUCAGGAUAGCAGCAACUUAUUUACGAUAGUUUUAUGAGGUAAAGCGAAUGAUUAGAGGAUUCGGGGAAGAAACUUCCUCRACCGKAUUCUCAAACUUUAAAUCUGUAAGACCUGCAGGUUCUUAAUGAACUUGCGGA
This 1249-nucleotide ribosomal RNA is filed under the name Halophytophthora insularis. RNAcentral's name for it is "eukaryotic LSU rRNA". It matches the Rfam family "Eukaryotic large subunit ribosomal RNA", at positions 66 to 1107 of the family's 3401-position model. The record is from RNAcentral. Lineage: Eukaryota; Oomycota; Peronosporomycetes; Peronosporales; Peronosporaceae.